AUGAGUGAUUGAAUGGCUGCGGUAUUUUGACCGUGCUAAGGUAGCAUAAUCAUUUGUCUUUAAUUGAGGGCUGUAUGAAAGGUUGGAUGAAGUAAUAACUUUCUUAAUUUAAUUUAUGAAUUUAAUUUUUAGGUUAAAAAGCUAAAAUGUUUUUAUAGGACGAGAAGACCCUAUAGAUCUUUACAGUUUAUUAGGUAUAAUGAUUUGGUGAAUUAUUUAUUAUUAUUCAAUGAUUUUGUUUGAUUGGGGUGAUUGUGGAAUUCUUUUAACUUCCAUUAUUUUUUUUCAAUGAUUAUUGUUUUAUUUGAUCCAUUAGUAAUGAUUAGAAGAUUAAGUUACCUUAGGGAUAACAGCGUAAUUUCUUCGGAGAGUUCAUAUUGAUGAGGAAGUUUGCGACCUCGAUGUUGGAUUAAAAUUAGUGUUAGGUGUAGCAGCUUAAUAACUAGGUCUGUUCGACCUUUAAAGUUUUACAUGAUCUGAGUUCAGACCGGCGUAAGCCAGGUCAGUUUCUAUCCAUAAUUUUAUAAUGUAUUUUAGUACGAAAGGACCAA
This 551-nucleotide non-coding RNA is filed under the name Rhodnius prolixus. Its description in RNAcentral is "Bacterial large subunit ribosomal RNA". It matches the Rfam family "Bacterial large subunit ribosomal RNA", at positions 1915 to 2695 of the family's 2925-position model. The record is from Rfam by way of RNAcentral. Lineage: Eukaryota; Metazoa; Arthropoda; Insecta; Hemiptera; Reduviidae.